UACAGAGGGUGCAAGCGUUAAUCGGAGUUACUGGGCGUAAAGGGCGCGUAGGCGGUCAUGCAAGUGAGAUGUGAAAUCCCCGGGCUUAACCUGGGAACUGCAUUUUAGACUGUGUGACUGGAGUACUGUAGAGGACAGUGGAAUUUCCGGUGUAGCGGUGAAAUGCGUAGAGAUCGGAAGGAACACCAGUGGCGAAGGCGACUGUCUGGCCAGAUACUGACGCUGAGGCGCGAAAGCGUGGGGAGCGAACAGG
Molecule: ribosomal RNA, 253 nt
Filed under: uncultured bacterium
Lineage: Bacteria
Description: partial 16S ribosomal RNA
Rfam family: Bacterial small subunit ribosomal RNA
Source: RNAcentral